Physcomitrium patens is the source of this 1330-nucleotide long non-coding RNA. RefSeq lists it as uncharacterized. NCBI's taxonomy places the organism in Eukaryota, Viridiplantae, Streptophyta, Bryopsida, Funariales, Funariaceae. The record is from RefSeq and is a predicted model, not a curated record.
CUUUCGUGGUUUGAGCUCCGACUUCGACAGAGCUGUUUUCGGUAUUUUUUUCCUGUGAUGGUCUUGCAAAGUGCUGAGCCCGGACUACAUUCUCUUUUCCCUCUUCGCUGCGGUGCAAAAACGGUAUUGCUGGCAGUUUGUUAGGCAGUGCCUGUGUUGAGAAACUGCAACUGCUAGUGUUUUUUUUUUCUUCUCUUGUUAUUUGUUUUUUUCCUGAUUGAAGUGCCAAAGCGGGAUGGGCGCUGGUAGUAUUGGCGACUGCCGUGCGGUGUUGUUGCUGUUCUUGAUACGAUUGAGAUGUGUCAAAGCGAAGUAGCGGUGCUCCCCUCGGGCUCCGUCGUCGCUGCCCCUGCGACCUUCCCUCGACCUGUGUCGAAGACAAAGAGCCACCCCAAGAUCCCAUUCGCAUUCGUAUUCUUAUUCCCAUUCCCUUUCACGUUGAUGGUGGGUUCAAUUUUUGCAAAGAUCAGGCCGAGCACGUCAACAACCUGUUCAGCAUUGCUCGGACUAUCGCGAAGGAACUCGUUGGAGCCGUCUUUAGUGGCUGCUUGAUCCAGUUUUUCAUUGAACAUUAGUGUUCCUCGAGCUGAUACAGCAUCGACACUGAGAGUUAUUGUGGGGAGCUGCGAUGAAGAGUGGCUAAGGUAGUUGGUGGUCGAGUUGCGGGUCAAUUUGCAUUGUUUCAAUUGGUUGUGGAUGUGCGACCGCUGGUGGCCUUGUAGCUGUGGAGAAACUAAUAGGUGUUCAUUUUAAUUGUCGAAGUAUAUUAAAAAUGCAGAUGGUUUUUUGAGCUACAGCAUGAUGUUGCUUGGAACUUACUGGUUCCGAUUGCAAGAAGCGCUGUACUGGGGUGCGGCGGAUGAGCAGACAAUCCAUCCUCCUAUGAUUGCUAGCUCGUUUAAUCUCAUCGAUUUGAACUGAACCAAGUGUUAGGCUGGCAACGUCCAAUUAAUUCGUGAACAUCGACAAUCACAUAAGUGUCAUGGGGUGAUUUCUCUUGCUGCCGAGUACUUGCGCAUUUAGUCCAAAUGUUCUCGUGAGGAGUAAUUUCCUUCUUCUUCGACGUUGUGAUAUACCAAUCUCAAGAAUUGCUAGUCUUUCAACCGGAAUACAAGUUUAGAAGUACUAUCAUAGAAGUCUAAUCGUGGCAGCUUUGAUCAGUUUUUGAGGAUUUCAUCACCUGGUUUCGACAUUAGAGAAGAUCAGCAAGAAGUCACAGAGGGAGCGUGAAGCUUGCAGAAGGGAAUCGCAUCUCACAGGUUUUGAAUUAAAAAUUGUUAUUUAUCGAUUGUUAAUUGAAUUACAUUUAUCAAAUCAACUUGAGCCAAAA